UACGGAGGAUCCGAGCGUUAUCCGGAAUUAUUGGGUUUAAAGGGUGCGUAGGCGGCCAUUUAAGUCUGCGGUGAAGUUUUGCAGCUUAACUGUAACAGUGCCGUUGAUACUGUUUGGCUAGGAUUUGGUUGUAGUGUGCGGAAUGUGCGGUGUAGCGGUGAAAUGCUUAGAUAUCACACAGAACACCGAUUGCGAAGGCAGCACACUAAGUCAUUAUUGACGCUGAGGCACGAAAGUGUGGGGAUCAAACAGGAUUAGA
Molecule: ribosomal RNA, 259 nt
Filed under: uncultured prokaryote
Description: partial 16S ribosomal RNA
Rfam family: Bacterial small subunit ribosomal RNA
Source: RNAcentral